Molecule: long non-coding RNA, 881 nt
Filed under: Homo sapiens (human)
Lineage: Eukaryota; Metazoa; Chordata; Mammalia; Primates; Hominidae
Description: long intergenic non-protein coding RNA 964
Source: RNAcentral
CCUUUCUGUUUUGCCUCUGGAGCUGAAGGUUGAGAACUCAGAGCUGCCCGUGUUCUACCCUGUGAAAAUAAAGGCAAUCAAUUCACAGAGACAAGCAGAAACAAGGCGUCCAGAGCAAGUCCUUCACAUCACCCUGGACACCCUGGCCCUGAUUUCCACUCCCUGCCAGGCUUGUUUGUCCAAUUCUUCUUUUUGUUCCAAGCACCAUCCCAGCAGGCUUAGUUACCUGUAAGCAUUUGGUUAAUCUCUCUUCUCAGCUAGACCGUAGGCUCCCCGAGUGCAGAAACUAUGUUUAUUUUGGUCUCUGCUGGAUCUCCAGCACCUAAAUAAAUGUUUAUGGUUGACUGCAAGGCAGAUCUGUGUGGGGAAUGAAGAAGAGUAUUAAGACCUCCCAGAUGGGCUGCUGGAGGCCUGUCCAAGGUGGAACUUUGCAUGGUGAGAAAUGCAAUUCAGUAGGAAAACAAAGAACUCCUUCAUCCUCCUCUAGAUUCUGCAGGCAAGUGAUCAGCUCAAGGUGAAGGAUCUAAAACCUGAAAAGAGGCCAAAUGAUUCCUCAAAACCACGCAAGUACGAAGUAGCAGAGCGGAUCUCAAAUCCAGAAUACUACUAAAGUCAUGCCGUGUGACUUCUGAAGCUAGCUCCUAAGAAGUCCUUGCAGCUUCUGCCUGCGACUCUUAGAACACUUGCUUUGAAGGAUGCCAGAUGCUGUCUUAAAAGUCUGAGCACUCUGAAACCAUCAUGCUGUGAGGAAGCCCAAGCUAACCACAUGGGCAAAAAAGAUGCCCUCUGACUGCCACCAUUUGAGACACUCUAAUUAAGAACUGCCUCAUUGAGCCCAUGAGGCCCUGUGAAUGAUAAUAAUAAAUUGUUUUUAACCACUA